RNAcentral lists this transfer RNA (71 nucleotides) under Patescibacteria group bacterium. RNAcentral describes it as "tRNA-Arg". It matches the Rfam family "tRNA". Rfam says of the family: Transfer RNA (tRNA) molecules are approximately 80 nucleotides in length. Their secondary structure includes four short double-helical elements and three loops (D, anti-codon, and T loops). Further hydrogen bonds mediate the characteristic L-shaped molecular structure. tRNAs have two regions of fundamental functional importance: the anti-codon, which is responsible for specific mRNA codon recognition, and the 3' end, to which the tRNAs corresponding amino acid is attached (by aminoacyl-tRNA synthetases). tRNAs cope with the degeneracy of the genetic code in two manners: having more than one tRNA (with a specific anti-codon) for a particular amino acid; and 'wobble' base-pairing, i.e. permitting non-standard base-pairing at the 3rd anti-codon position. The record is from RNAcentral.
AAGCCAAUAGUGUAGUGGUAGCAUCACGAUCUCCGAAGUCGUUGGCAGAGGUUCGAACCCUCUUUGGCUUG